UUCCGGUUGAUCCUGCCGGAGGCUACCGCUAUUGGAAUCCGAUUAAGCCAUGCGAGUCGAGAGAUUUCGGAUCUCGGCGGACGUCUCAAUAACACGUGGAUAAUCUGCCCUUGAGUGGGGGAUAAACUCGGAAACCUGAGUAUAAUACCCCAUAGGCCUAGGAUGCUGGAAUGCUUCUAGGCUCAAAGCUCCGGCGCUCAAGGAUGAAUCUGCGACCUAUCAGGCUGUAGUGGGUGUAACGGACCCACUAACCUUUGACGGGUACGGGCCUUGAGAGAGGUUGCCCGGAGUUGGACUCUGAGACACGAGUCCAGGCCCUACGGGGUGCAGCAGGCGCGAAAACUUCACAAUGUGGGAAACCACGAUGAGGGGAUUCCAAGUGCUAACACAUAGUGUUAGCUGUUCACCUGCCUAAAAAGCUGGUGAAGUAAGGGCCGGGUAAGACGGGUGCCAGCCGCCGCGGUAAUACCCGCAGCCCGAGUGGUGAUCGCUAUUAUUGAGCCUAAAGCGUCCGUAGCCGGUCUGAUAAAUCCUUGGGUAAAUCGGGCAGCUUAACUGUCCGAAUUCCGAGGAGACUGUCUGACUAGGGACCGGGAGAGGUCAGAGGUACUCCGGGGGUAGGGGUGAAAUCCUGUAAUCCUCGGGGGACCACCAGUGGCGAAGGCGUCUGACUAGAACGGAUCCGACGGUAAGGGACGAAGCCCUGGGGCGCAAACCGGAUUAGAUACCCGGGUAGUCCAGGGUGUAAACGCUGCAGGCUUGGUGUCGGGGGUCCUACGGGGGCACUCGGUGCCGGAGAGAAGUUGUUAAGCCUGCCGCUUGGGGAGUACGCUCGCAAGAGUGAGACUUAAAGGAAUUGGCGGGGGAGCACAGCAACGGGAGAGCGUGCGGUUCAAUUGGACUCAACGCCGGU
RNAcentral lists this ribosomal RNA (913 nucleotides) under uncultured archaeon. RNAcentral's name for it is "partial 16S ribosomal RNA". It matches the Rfam family "Archaeal small subunit ribosomal RNA", at positions 1 to 922 of the family's 1478-position model. The record is from RNAcentral.